Molecule: ribosomal RNA, 465 nt
Filed under: Pseudomonas putida
Lineage: Bacteria; Pseudomonadati; Pseudomonadota; Gammaproteobacteria; Pseudomonadales; Pseudomonadaceae
Description: bacterial SSU rRNA
Rfam family: Bacterial small subunit ribosomal RNA
Source: RNAcentral
CCUAACACAUGCAAGUCGAGCGGAUGACGGGAGCUUGCUCCUUGAUUCAGCGGCGGACGGGUGAGUAAUGCCUAGGAAUCUGCCUGGUAGUGGGGGACAACGUUUCGAAAGGAACGCUAAUACCGCAUACGUCCUACGGGAGAAAGCAGGGGACCUUCGGGCCUUGCGCUAUCAGAUGAGCCUAGGUCGGAUUAGCAGUUGGUGGGGUAAUGGCUCACCAAGGCGACGAUCCGUAACUGGUCUGAGAGGAUGAUCAGUCACACUGGAACUGAGACACGGUCCAGACUCCUACGGGAGGCAGCAGUGGGGAAUAUUGGACAAUGGGCGAAAGCCUGAUCCAGCCAUGCCGCGUGUGUGAAGAAGGUCUUCGGAUUGUAAAGCACUUUAAGUUGGGAGGAAGGGCAGUAAGCUAAUACCUUGCUGUUUUGACGUUACCGACACAAUAAGCACCGGCUAACUCUGUGC